UACGAAGGGGUCUAGCGUUGCUCGGAAUCACUGGGCGUAAAGCGCACGUAGGCGGCUUUUUAAGUCAGAGGUGAAAUCCUGGAGCUCAACUCCAGAACUGCCUUCGAUACUGGAAGACUUGAGUCCGGGAGAGGUGAGUGGAACUGCGAGUGUAGAGGUGAAAUUCGUAGAUAUUCGCAAGAACACCAGUGGCGAAGGCGGCUCACUGGCCCGGUACUGACGCUGAGGUGCGAAAGCGUGGGGAGCAAACAGG
This 253-nucleotide ribosomal RNA is filed under the name uncultured bacterium. RNAcentral describes it as "partial 16S ribosomal RNA". It matches the Rfam family "Bacterial small subunit ribosomal RNA", at positions 524 to 776 of the family's 1533-position model. The record is from RNAcentral.